This 287-nucleotide ribosomal RNA is filed under the name uncultured Streptococcus sp. RNAcentral describes it as "partial 16S ribosomal RNA". It matches the Rfam family "Bacterial small subunit ribosomal RNA", at positions 1093 to 1382 of the family's 1533-position model. Lineage: Bacteria; Bacillati; Bacillota; Bacilli; Lactobacillales; Streptococcaceae. The record is from RNAcentral.
CGAGCGCAACCCUAUUGUUAGUUGCCAUCAUUCAGUUGGGCACUCUAGCGAGACUGCCGGUAAUAAAACCGGAGGAAGUGGGAUGACGUCAAAUCAUCAUGCCCCUUAUGACCUGGGCUACACACGUGCUACAAUGGUUGGUACAACGAGUUGCGAGUCGGUGACGGCGAGCUAAUCUACUUAAAGCCAAUCUCAGUUCGGAUUGUAGGCUGCAACUCGCCUACAUGAAGUCGGAAUCGCUAGUAAUCGCGGAUCAGCAUGCCGCGGUCGAAUACGUUCCGGGCCUU